CGCCUGUUUAACAAAAACAUAGCCUAUAGUUAUUUAUAAUAGGUAACUCCUGCUCAAGGAAUUUAUUUAUUUUAAUAGCCGCAGUAAUUUGACUGUGCUAAGGUAGCAUAAUCAUUUGGCCUUUAAUUGGGGUCUGGUAUGAAUGGAAAUACGAAGGAAUAACUGUCUUUAUUUAAAAAUAGAAUCGAAUUUAUUUAUUAAGGUGAAAAUACCUUAAAUUAAAUAAUAGACGAGAAGACCCUUAGACCUUUUAUUAGGAGUAUAAAUUCUUUAUAAUUACAUUUUUGUUGGGGCGACAUUGUAUCAAUUAUUAUAAUAAUUAACAUACAUAAUAUAUUUUUAUUUAUAUCUACAUAUAGUAUUAAUAAAUAAGGUACCUGAGGGAUAACAGCAUUAUUAUAUUAAUUACAUUGUGACCUCGAUGUUGGACUAGGAAAAUAACUAUUUAGAGAAUAGUUGUAUUAAGUUCUGUUCGAACAUUUAGUUCCUACGUGAUCUGAGUUCAGACCGG
This 511-nucleotide ribosomal RNA is filed under the name Bostryx conspersus. RNAcentral's name for it is "partial 16S ribosomal RNA". It matches the Rfam family "Archaeal large subunit ribosomal RNA", at positions 1889 to 2688 of the family's 2987-position model. The record is from RNAcentral. Lineage: Eukaryota; Metazoa; Mollusca; Gastropoda; Stylommatophora; Orthalicidae.